UUCCAUGCUCCCAAGAAAAUCUUCUAACCAGAUAAAACUUAACCGUACCUCAAUCCAACACAGGUAGACAGGGUGAUAGACUCCUAAGGUGAGCGAAAGAACUCUCGUUAAGGAACUCGGCAAAAAGGCCCCGUAACUUUGGGAGAAGGGGUGCCUAACCAUUACUAAUUAAGCAAUUAAUUAGUAAUGUAGUAGGUUGCAAGAAAUAGGCUCGGGGGACUGUUUAACAAAAACACAGGUUUCUGCUAAGCCGUAAGGCGAUGUAUAGGAGCCGACGCUUGCCCAGUGCUGGAAGGUUACGAGGAGAGGUUAGGGAGGAGCAAUCUUCCCGAAGCUUUGAAUCUAAGCCCCAGUGAACGGCGGCCGUAACUAUAACGGUCCUAAGGUAGCGAAAUACCUUGUCGGGCAAGUUCCGACGCGCAUGAAAAGCGUAACUACCUGAGCGCUGUCUCGACGAGAGAUUCGGUGAAAUAGCAGUUCCCGUGAAGAUGCGGGAUACUUGCGGCAGGACGGGAAGACCCCGUAGAGCUUUACUAUAACCUGGCAUUGAAUUCUGGCAUUUUAUGUACAGGAUAGGUGGGAGACUGGGAAGAAGGAUCGCCAGGUCCUUUGGAGUCGCCCUUGGGAUACCACCCUUAAAAUGUUAGUGUUCUAACGUUUAGCUUUGAGUCAAGCAAAUGGACAGUGUCAGGCGGGUAGUUUGACUGGGGCGGUCGCCUCCUAAAAAGUAACGGAGGCGCACAAAGGUUCCCUCAGCGUGUUUGGAAAUCACGCGUAGAGUGUAAAGGCAUAAGGGAGCUUAACUGCAUAGACUUACAGGUCAAGCAGGUGCGAAAGCAGGUCUUAAUGAUCCGGUGAUACCAUAUGGAAGGGUCAUCGCUCAACGAAUAAAAGCUACCUCGGGGAUAACAGGCUUAUCCUUCCCAAGAGUUCACAUCGACGGGAGGGCUUGGCACCUCGAUGUCGGCUCGUCGCAUCCUGGAGCUGAAGCAGGUUCCAAGGGUUGGGCUGUUCGCCCAUUAAAGCGGCACGCGAGCUGGGUUCAGAACGUCGUGAGACAGUUCGGUCCUUAUCCGCCGCAAGCGCAGGAUAUUUGAGAGGGUUCACUCUUAGUACGAGAGGAUCAGAGUGACUGGACCUCCAGUGUACCUGUUAUCACACCAGUGAUACGCGCAGGGUAGCUGUGUCCUAAGGAAUAAGCACUGAAAGCAUCUAAGUGCGAAGUCUCCCUCAAGAUUAGAUAUCCCACUCCAAUAAGGAGGUAAGAUCACUGGUAGACUACCAGUUUGAUAGGCUGGAGCUGUAAGAGCUGAGAGGCUUUAAGGUGACCAGUACUAAUAGAUCGAGGUUUUUCC
Molecule: ribosomal RNA, 1355 nt
Filed under: metagenome
Description: bacterial LSU rRNA
Rfam family: Bacterial large subunit ribosomal RNA
Source: RNAcentral